RNAcentral lists this non-coding RNA (792 nucleotides) under Trichomonas vaginalis G3. RNAcentral describes it as "Eukaryotic large subunit ribosomal RNA". It matches the Rfam family "Eukaryotic large subunit ribosomal RNA", at positions 2453 to 3401 of the family's 3401-position model. The record is from Rfam by way of RNAcentral. Lineage: Eukaryota; Parabasalia; Trichomonadida; Trichomonadidae.
CGGGGGUGUAGACUAGGUGGGAGAGCAAUCGAUUCUGAAAAACCACUACCCUGUUUGGAAUUAUGCUUACCUAUCACAAGGAAUAGGACUAGAUAGAAAGUUUGGCUGGGGCGGCACACCUUCGAAAGAGCAGCGAAGGUGUCCUAAGUUGAGCUCAGUGAGGACAGAAAUCUCACGUUGAGGAUAAGGCCAAAAGCUCAAUUUACUGUGCCUUUUUGUACUAGGAUCAGUUACGAAAGUAAGGCCUAACGAUCCCUAAAUAGCCUCAGGUGCGUGAGGAUUGGGGUGACAGACAAGUUACCUCCGGGACAACUGGCUUGUGGCUGCUAAGAGAUCAAAUCAACGCAGCUUUUUGAUUCUUCGAUGUCGGCUCUUCCUAUCCUAGUGAUGUACAAGUUGCUAAGGGUCGGAUUGUUCACCCGUAUUAGGGAUCGUGAGCUGGGUUUAGACCGUCGUGAGCCAGGUUUGUUUUAUCCUACUGGAUAUAGCAUCAUGAUAGUAGAUUGAUUUAGUACGAGAGGAACUGUUGAUUAUGGCCUCUGGUUAGCGAUUAUCGGAAACGGUAUGUCGCGCAGCUACGCCGUCUGGGAUAAUGGCUGAAAGCCUCUUAAGCCAGAAGCCCAUCUAGAAAGUGAUGCACGUGAUGUUGGACCGAUACGAAUAAUCAUACUCAAAAGGUCCGCUUCAUAGGUAACCCAAUGUAGAAGACAUUGUGUGAACGAAGGUACUGUAAGCAGUGGAGUGGCAUUACGUCCACGACCUGUUGAGGUUCAGCUUCGCUUCUAGGUUUUC